UCCCAUGUAGCUCAGUCGGUAAAGAAUCUGCCUGCAGUGCAGGACACCUGGGUUCGAUCCCUGGGUUGGGAA
RNAcentral lists this transfer RNA (72 nucleotides) under Bos taurus (domestic cattle). It matches the Rfam family "tRNA". Rfam says of the family: Transfer RNA (tRNA) molecules are approximately 80 nucleotides in length. Their secondary structure includes four short double-helical elements and three loops (D, anti-codon, and T loops). Further hydrogen bonds mediate the characteristic L-shaped molecular structure. tRNAs have two regions of fundamental functional importance: the anti-codon, which is responsible for specific mRNA codon recognition, and the 3' end, to which the tRNAs corresponding amino acid is attached (by aminoacyl-tRNA synthetases). tRNAs cope with the degeneracy of the genetic code in two manners: having more than one tRNA (with a specific anti-codon) for a particular amino acid; and 'wobble' base-pairing, i.e. permitting non-standard base-pairing at the 3rd anti-codon position. RNAcentral also lists the same sequence under 1 other name. Lineage: Eukaryota; Metazoa; Chordata; Mammalia; Artiodactyla; Bovidae. The record is from Rfam by way of RNAcentral.